UACGGAGGGAGCUAGCGUUGUUCGGAAUUACUGGGCGUAAAGCGCACGUAGGCGGCUUUGUAAGUUAGAGGUGAAAGCCCGGGGCUCAACCCCGGAAUUGCCUUUAAGACUGCAUCGCUUGAAUCCAGGAGAGGUGAGUGGAAUUCCGAGUGUAGAGGUGAAAAUUCGUAGAUAUUCGGAAGAACACCAGUGGCGAAGGCGGCUCACUGGACUGGUAUUGACGCUGAGGUGCGAAAGCGUGGGGAGCAAACAGG
This 254-nucleotide ribosomal RNA is filed under the name uncultured bacterium. Its description in RNAcentral is "partial 16S ribosomal RNA". It matches the Rfam family "Bacterial small subunit ribosomal RNA", at positions 524 to 776 of the family's 1533-position model. The record is from RNAcentral.